ACGUCAGAACUGUUUCGGGUCUUCCAUCAGGGUUUCCCCUGACUUCAACCUGAUCAAGUAUAGUUCACCAUCUUUCGGGUCACAGCAUAUAUGCUCAAGGGUACGGUUCCAGUUAGAGGGUAUAAAUUAUUAAUUUAUACAUAACUAUAUAGAGGCGCCCCGGGAUUGUGUUAAUAAAUUAUAAAUAAUUUAAAAACUAAUCCCCAUUUAAAUAAAGUCCAAGUUAAUUAUGCCAUUAAGGUUU
This 244-nucleotide ribosomal RNA is filed under the name Rhinoleucophenga obesa. Its description in RNAcentral is "partial 28S ribosomal RNA". The record is from RNAcentral. Lineage: Eukaryota; Metazoa; Arthropoda; Insecta; Diptera; Drosophilidae.